UCCAGAUUUACACGAUGCCGAUAAUGACGCCAUUCUGCCUGUAAGACAUUACGAGACAGUACGCAGGACAACAAACAAGCAGAUCUUGCAUCGCAGGCGGACGCUGUGAGGAGUUCAGCUCGGAGUCGAUCGAGGACAAAGAGGUGCAUCGUGCAGUACUGAUCGUCUUUAGUGAUGCUGGAAGCGAGACAGAGAGCUAGCUGAGGAUGAGGUGGACCUUUGGAAGUGCGCCGCCAUGGACCUGAUGUCUGAGGAGGAAGACGGCACAA
This 269-nucleotide long non-coding RNA is filed under the name Sparus aurata (gilthead seabream). RNAcentral describes it as "lncRNA (ENSSAUG00010000191.1)". Lineage: Eukaryota; Metazoa; Chordata; Actinopteri; Spariformes; Sparidae. The record is from RNAcentral.